UACGUAGGGGGCAAGCGUUGUCCGGAAUCAUUGGGCGUAAAGCGCGUGUAGGCGGCCCGAUAAGUCCGCUGUGAAAGUCCAGGGCUCAACCCUGGGAUGCCCGUGGAUACUGUCGGGCUCGAGUCCGGAAGAGGCGAGUGGAAUUCCUGGUGUAGCGGUGAAAUGCGCAGAUAUCAGGAGGAACACCAAUGGCGAAGGCAGCUCGCUGGGACGUGACUGACGCUGAGACGCGAAAGCGUGGGGAGCAAACAGG
RNAcentral lists this ribosomal RNA (253 nucleotides) under uncultured bacterium. RNAcentral's name for it is "partial 16S ribosomal RNA". It matches the Rfam family "Bacterial small subunit ribosomal RNA", at positions 524 to 776 of the family's 1533-position model. The record is from RNAcentral.